CAAUAGCGUAUACUAAUGUUGUUGCAGUUAAAAAGCUCGUAGUUGAACUUCUGGUAGGAGUGUCCCGGCCUUUUUGUUUUUACAAAUUGUAUGCUGUGUGACAUCUCUGGCCAUCCUUCUUCUUUGUUUAAAGAAGAUCUUUCACUGUAAAAAAAUUAGGGUGUUCAAAGCAAAAGUUUCUUUGGAAUAUAUUAGUAUGGGAUGAUAAGAUAGGCUCUAGAUGCUAUUUUGUUGGUUUGCACAUUUAGAGAAUGAUUAACAGGGACAGUUGGGGGUAUUCGUAUUUACAUGUCAGAAGUGAAAUUCUUGGAUUUUGGAAAGACGAACUACUGCGAAAGCAUUUACCAAGGAUGUUUUCAUUAA
RNAcentral lists this ribosomal RNA (363 nucleotides) under uncultured eukaryote. RNAcentral describes it as "partial 18S ribosomal RNA". It matches the Rfam family "Eukaryotic small subunit ribosomal RNA", at positions 592 to 976 of the family's 1831-position model. The record is from RNAcentral.